GCCCAGAGCCCCGGAGGGAAAGCAGUGUGAGAUCAGAGUGCAGGACUGUGUCUUUGGGAAGCUGAACUGACCAGGCGGAAGGGGCAGCAGUGGCACCCGGGGAAGGAGGGCUCGGGUUAACUGGCAGAGCUGUCUGUGUGAACGGCUGCAGGACAUCCAAAUCACAGCACUGUUUCACACAUCCCUGUCUCGAGUCACCGAGGAUGGGUUUCCGAGCCUGCAGCAGCCAGCAGUGAGGCACAGAGGAUUCCACUGGAUUAUCCAAAGCAUCUGACCCGCAAAUGAGGAGUGAGGAGAACACUUUUAAAAAACAACUCCUGAACGGUUCACAGAGCCAACUCGACAUUGAACAGAGACGCAAACAGCCAGCCACCUCUGAGGCAAAAGGUCAAUUUCUUGUGCUUGUCUUGGUCUUCGGAAUCUAAGUUCUUGGUCUGAGUGUGGCCCCAGUUUGCUCAGCCCGUGGGAUGGGUGUGGCAUAGACGGCAGCGACACUGUGGUCUGAACCCAGAGAGGGAGUGAAGCUGGAGCAGCUAGGGCAGGGGCGUGGGAGAAGAGAGCAGGCUGCGUCCUCCAAAAACACAGACUUUUUCAAUUUUGAUUUUAUUUUUGAUUGACACGUAAUUACUAUACAUAUUUAUGGGGUAGAGUGCAAUGAUUCAACACAUGUGUACCAAGGCAACAAGCACUCCCGCCUCCCUGUCAUGUUUCUGUUCGGAGCCUUGAACACCUCCCUUCCAAUUUGAUCAAGUUGGGGCAGCUGGGCUUUGCAGUUGAAGCAGCAGAAGCUGAGUGAGAGAAGCAAAUUUCCAUCCUGGAUGAACGUGAGCUGCCUGCCUUGUGACUUCCUGAACUUUGUGAUUCUCCUGAUUGAGUCCCGGGCCCCUCCCACGUCCCUCUCUCUCCCCAGCCCUCACACACAGCUGCAAGGUAUGUCUGAGCACCUAUAACGUGCCGAGUGUUUUCACUGUCCACAGCGAUGAUGAACCUUGUGCUCUGCAGUACCCUACAGAGGUACAGUUGUGUGCUACACGUGUGCACUGUGUGGAAGUCUUGGGAGCCUCGAGAGACAGUGCUUCGGGGCCACCGGAAGAGUGUGACUUCCAUGGGAAAUCGAGUAUGGCAACCAUGCACAUGCUGCUGCUGACAGGGAACUGGGAGGGAUGGUGGAGAAGCAGUUUCCCUCCUAGUUCUUUGCCACCUUCUCCAGUAUAAAUCUCUGCAACUGGGGGUGGGAGUGGGGAAAGGAAUUCACAAUGCAG
This 1262-nucleotide long non-coding RNA is filed under the name Heterocephalus glaber (naked mole-rat). Its description in RNAcentral is "lncRNA (ENSHGLG00100032965.1)". The record is from RNAcentral. Lineage: Eukaryota; Metazoa; Chordata; Mammalia; Rodentia; Bathyergidae.